RNAcentral lists this ribosomal RNA (609 nucleotides) under Staphylococcus aureus. RNAcentral's name for it is "partial 23S ribosomal RNA". It matches the Rfam family "Bacterial large subunit ribosomal RNA", at positions 523 to 1134 of the family's 2925-position model. Lineage: Bacteria; Bacillati; Bacillota; Bacilli; Caryophanales; Staphylococcaceae. The record is from RNAcentral.
ACCCCGGAAGGGGAGUGAAAUAGAACCUGAAACCGUGUGCUUACAAGUAGUCAGAGCCCGUUAAUGGGUGAUGGCGUGCCUUUUGUAGAAUGAACCGGCGAGUUACGAUUUGAUGCAAGGUUAAGCAGUAAAUGUGGAGCCGUAGCGAAAGCGAGUCUGAAUAGGGCGUUUAGUAUUUGGUCGUAGACCCGAAACCAGGUGAUCUACCCUUGGUCAGGUUGAAGUUCAGGUAACACUGAAUGGAGGACCGAACCGACUUACGUUGAAAAGUGAGCGGAUGAACUGAGGGUAGCGGAGAAAUUCCAAUCGAACCUGGAGAUAGCUGGUUCUCUCCGAAAUAGCUUUAGGGCUAGCCUCAAGUGAUGAUUAUUGGAGGUAGAGCACUGUUUGGACGAGGGGCCCCUCUCGGGUUACCGAAUUCAGACAAACUCCGAAUGCCAAUUAAUUUAACUUGGGAGUCAGAACAUGGGUGAUAAGGUCCGUGUUCGAAAGGGAAACAGCCCAGACCACCAGCUAAGGUCCCAAAAUAUAUGUUAAGUGGAAAAGGAUGUGGCGUUGCCCAGACAACUAGGAUGUUGGCUUAGAAGCAGCCAUCAUUUAAAGAGUGCG